This 253-nucleotide ribosomal RNA is filed under the name uncultured bacterium. RNAcentral's name for it is "partial 16S ribosomal RNA". It matches the Rfam family "Bacterial small subunit ribosomal RNA", at positions 524 to 776 of the family's 1533-position model. The record is from RNAcentral.
UACAGAGGUCUCAAGCGUUGUUCGGAUUCAUUGGGCGUAAAGGGUGCGUAGGCGGCGCGGUAAGUCGGGUGUGAAAUCUCGGGGCUUAACUCCGAAACUGCAUUCGAUACUGCCGUGCUUGAGGACUGGAGAGGAGACUGGAAUUUACGGUGUAGCGGUGAAAUGCGUAGAUAUCGUAAGGAAGACCAGCGGCGAAGGCGAGUUCCUGGACAGUUACUGACGCUGAGGCACGAAGGCCAGGGGAGCAAACGGG